CGUGAACGCUGGCGGUAGGCCUAACACAUGCAAGUCGAACGGCAGCACAGGAGAGCUUGCUCUCUAGGUGGCGAGUGGCGGACGGGUGAGGAAUACAUCGGAAUCUGCCCAGUCGUGGGGGAUAACGUAGGGAAACUUACGCUAAUACCGCAUACGACCUUCGGGUGAAAGAGGGGGAUCGCAAGACCUCUCGCGAUUGGAUGAGCCGAUGUCGGAUUAGCUAGUUAGCGGGGUAAUGGCCCACCAAGGCGACGAUCCGUAGCUGGUCUGAGAGGAUGAUCAGCCACACUGGAACUGAGACACGGUCCAGACUCCUACGGGAGGCAGCAGUGGGGAAUAUUGGACAAUGGGCGCAAGCCUGAUCCAGCCAUACCGCGUGGGUGAAGAAGGCCUUCGGGUUGUAAAGCCCUUUUGUUGGGAAAGAAAUCUUUCAGGCUAAUACCCUGGGAGGAUGACGGUACCCAAAGAAUAAGCACCGGCUAACUUCGUG
Molecule: ribosomal RNA, 490 nt
Filed under: uncultured bacterium
Lineage: Bacteria
Description: partial 16S ribosomal RNA
Rfam family: Bacterial small subunit ribosomal RNA
Source: RNAcentral